UACGUAGGUGGCGAGCGUUAUCCGGAAUUAUUGGGCGUAAAGAGCGCGCAGGUGGUUGAUUAAGUCUGAUGUGAAAGCCCACGGCUUAACCGUGGAGGGUCAUUGGAAACUGGUCGACUUGAGUGUAGAAGAGGGAAGUGGAAUUCCAUGUGUAGCGGUGAAAUGCGUAGAUAUCGGGAGGAACACCAGUGGCGAAGGCGACUCUCUGGUCUGUAACUGACGCUGAGGCUCGAAAGCGUGGGGAGCAAACAGGAUUAGAUACCCGCGUA
RNAcentral lists this ribosomal RNA (269 nucleotides) under uncultured prokaryote. RNAcentral describes it as "partial 16S ribosomal RNA". It matches the Rfam family "Bacterial small subunit ribosomal RNA", at positions 524 to 792 of the family's 1533-position model. The record is from RNAcentral.